CCAUUCAGUGGCGGACGGGUGAGUAACACGUAGGAAUCUGCCCUGGGGUGGGGAAUAACGGCGGGAAACCGUCGCUAAUACCGCGUACGCUGGAGCGCAAGCUUCAGGAAAGCCGAAAGGCGCCCAAGGGGGAGCCUGCGGCCCAUUAUGCUGGUUGGUGGGGUAACGGCCUACCAAGGCUAUGAUGGGUAGCCGGUCUGAGAGGACGAUCGGCCACACUGGGACUGAGAGACGGCCCAG
Molecule: ribosomal RNA, 240 nt
Filed under: uncultured bacterium
Lineage: Bacteria
Description: partial 16S ribosomal RNA
Rfam family: Bacterial small subunit ribosomal RNA
Source: RNAcentral